GACGAACGCUGGCGGCGUGCCUAAUACAUGCAAGUUGAGCGCUGAAGGUUGGUACUUGUACCAACUGGAUGAGCAGCGAACGGGUGAGUAACGCGUGGGGAAUCUGCCUUUGAGCGGGGGACAACAUUUGGAAACGAAUGCUAAUACCGCAUAAAAACUUUAAACACAAGUUUUAAGUUUGAAAGAUGCAAUUGCAUCACUCAAAGAUGAUCCCGCGUUGUAUUAGCUAGUUGGUGAGGUAAAGGCUCACCAAGGCGAUGAUACAUAGCCGACCUGAGAGGGUGAUCGGCCACAUUGGGACUGAGACACGGCCCAAACUCCUACGGGAGGCAGCAGUAGGGAAUCUUCGGCAAUGGACGAAAGUCUGACCGAGAAACGCCGCGGGAGUGAAGAAGGUUUUCGGAUCGUAAAACUCUGUUGGUAGAGAAGAGCGUUGGUGAGAGUGGAAAGCUCAUCAAGUGACGGUAACUACCCAGAAAGGGACGGCUAACUACGUG
Molecule: ribosomal RNA, 497 nt
Filed under: uncultured bacterium
Lineage: Bacteria
Description: partial 16S ribosomal RNA
Rfam family: Bacterial small subunit ribosomal RNA
Source: RNAcentral